This 492-nucleotide ribosomal RNA is filed under the name uncultured bacterium. RNAcentral's name for it is "partial 16S ribosomal RNA". It matches the Rfam family "Bacterial small subunit ribosomal RNA", at positions 29 to 507 of the family's 1533-position model. The record is from RNAcentral.
AGUGAACGCUGGCGGUAGGCCUAACACAUGCAAGUCGAACGGCAGCACAGUAAGAGCUUGCUCUUACGGGUGGCGAGUGGCGGACGGGUGAGGAAUACAUCGGAAUCUACUUUUUCGUGGGGGAUAACGUAGGGAAACUUACGCUAAUACCGCAUACGACCUACGGGUUAAAGCAGGGGAUCUUCGGACCUUGCGCGAUUGAAUGAGCCGAUGUCGGAUUAGCUAGUUGGCGGGGUAAAGGCCCACCAAGGCGACGAUCCGUAGCUGGUCUGAGAGGAUGAUCAGCCACACUGGAACUGAGACACGGUCCAGACCCCUACGGGAGGCAGCAGUGGGGAAUAUUGGACAAUGGGCGCAAGCCUGAUCCAGCCAUACCGCGUGGGUGAAGAAGGCCUUCGGGUUGUAAAGCCCUUUUGUUGGGAAAGAAAAGCAGCAGGUUAAUACCCCGCUGUUCUGACGGUACCCAAAGAAUAAGCACCGGCUAACUUCGUG